RNAcentral lists this non-coding RNA (24 nucleotides) under Arabidopsis thaliana (thale cress). The record is from RNAcentral. Lineage: Eukaryota; Viridiplantae; Streptophyta; Magnoliopsida; Brassicales; Brassicaceae.
AGGCCCAUUAUUCUCUUAGAGACC